RNAcentral lists this ribosomal RNA (368 nucleotides) under uncultured organism. RNAcentral's name for it is "bacterial SSU rRNA". It matches the Rfam family "Bacterial small subunit ribosomal RNA", at positions 526 to 896 of the family's 1533-position model. The record is from RNAcentral.
CGAAGGAUGCAAGCGUUAUCCGGAUUCAUUGGGUUUAAAGGGAGCGUAGGUGGCCUUAUAAGUCAGUGGUGAAAUCUCUGGGCUUAACCCAGAAAUUGCCAUUGAUACUGUAGGGCUUGAGUAUAGAUGCCGUUGGCGGAAUAUGACAUGUAGUGGUGAAAUACAUAGAGAUGUCAUAGAACACCGAUUGCGAAGGCAGCUAACGAAACUAUAACUGACACUGAGGCUCGAAAGUGUGGGGAUCAAACAGGAUUAGAUACCCUGGUAGUCCACACUGUAAACGAUGAUUACUCGCUGCUAGAGGGCAACUUUUAGUGGCUUGGCGAAAGCGAUAAGUAAUCCACCUGGGGAGUACGCCGGCAACGGUG